This 203-nucleotide ribosomal RNA is filed under the name uncultured bacterium. RNAcentral describes it as "partial 16S ribosomal RNA". It matches the Rfam family "Bacterial small subunit ribosomal RNA", at positions 128 to 334 of the family's 1533-position model. The record is from RNAcentral.
GCCUGAUGGAGGGGGAUAACUACUGGAAACGGUAGCUAAUACCGCAUAACGUCGCAAGACCAAAGAGGGGGACCUUCGGGCCUCUUGCCAUCGGAUGUGCCCAGAUGGGAUUAGCUAGUAGGUGGGGUAACGGCUCACCUAGCGACGAUCCCUAGCUGGUCUGAGAGGAUGACCAGCCACACUGGAACUGAGACACGGUCCAG